UACGUAGGGUGCAGGCGUUAAUCGGAAUUACUGGGCGUAAAGCGUGCGCAGGCGGUCUUUUAAGUCAGAUGUGAAAUCCCCGGGCUCAACCUGGGAAUUGCAUUUGUGACUGCACGGCUAGAGUGUGUCAGAGGGGGGUAGAAUUCCACGUGUAGCAGUGAAAUGCGUAGAGAUGUGGAGGAAUACCGAUGGCGAAGGCAGCCCCCUGGGAUAACACUGACGCUCAUGCACGAAAGCGUGGGGAGCAAACAGG
This 253-nucleotide ribosomal RNA is filed under the name uncultured bacterium. Its description in RNAcentral is "partial 16S ribosomal RNA". It matches the Rfam family "Bacterial small subunit ribosomal RNA", at positions 524 to 776 of the family's 1533-position model. The record is from RNAcentral.